This is a non-coding RNA of Nicotiana tabacum (common tobacco), 512 nucleotides long. The record is from RefSeq and is a predicted model, not a curated record. Lineage: Eukaryota; Viridiplantae; Streptophyta; Magnoliopsida; Solanales; Solanaceae.
AGAAUAAACUGUAUGAGAUGGCUCGUGAUGUGUUAGCCAUUCCUAUUUCAAGUGUUGCAUCAGAAUGUGCAUUCAGUACUGGAGGUCGCAUUCUUGACUCGUUUAGGAGUUCGUUGACGCCUAAACUGGUGCAAUCUCUUAUUUGUCUUCAAGAUUGGCUUAGAAGUGAACCUAUUCCUAUUAAAGUUGAGGAAGACUUGGAGUAUCUAGAACAACUGGAACUUGAUUUGGCAAAUUGUGCAAAAGAUUCAACUAUUAUUGACAUAUAGUUGCAACCUGUGGCAUGUGUGGUUUGAUCAUGGCGCCUAAAUGGAACUUAAAGAUUAUGUAUCAUUUUCAUAAAUGCUUAGAUCAACAAGUAAAUAGACAAGUAGUAAAUAGACAAGUGAUGCUGCAGUAAUAACUUGCUAGUGAGCUCUUUUGGUAGACAAGCUGAUGCUGCAGUAGUACUUAAUGUAGUUAUUUUAUUGAUUUUGAGACUUCAGCAACAUGAAAACUUUCUAACUUCUCGA